This 124-nucleotide ribosomal RNA is filed under the name Lonchocarpus sinaloensis. RNAcentral's name for it is "partial 18S ribosomal RNA". It matches the Rfam family "Eukaryotic small subunit ribosomal RNA", at positions 1712 to 1831 of the family's 1831-position model. Lineage: Eukaryota; Viridiplantae; Streptophyta; Magnoliopsida; Fabales; Fabaceae. The record is from RNAcentral.
UGAUUGCGGCGACGUGGGCGGUUAGCUGCCCGCGACGUUGUGAGAAGUCCACUGAACCUUAUCAUUUAGAGGAAGGAGAAGUCGUAACAAGGUUUCCGUAGGUGAACCUGCGGAAGGAUCAUUG